GGUUUCCUACGGGGGGCAGCAGUGGGGGAUAUUGCACAAUGGGGGGAACCCUGAUGCAGCGACGCCGCGUGGGUGAAGAAGCGCCUCGGCGAGUAAAGCCCUGUCAGCAGGGAAGAAAAUGACGGUAACUGAAGAAGAAGCCCCGGCUAACUACGUGCCAGCAGCCGCGGUAAUACGUAGGGGGGAAGCGUUAUCAGGAUUUACUGGGAGUAAAGGGGGCGCAGACGGCGAUGCAAGCCAGGAGUGAAAGCCCGGGGCCCAACCCCGGGACUGCUCUUGGAACUGCGUGGCUGGAG
This 296-nucleotide ribosomal RNA is filed under the name uncultured bacterium. RNAcentral describes it as "partial 16S ribosomal RNA". It matches the Rfam family "Bacterial small subunit ribosomal RNA", at positions 333 to 646 of the family's 1533-position model. The record is from RNAcentral.